GCAACACAACAUCACAUCCUAAAAACACUCAACUAAAUUUUAACUUCAAAGCAUGGGUAGGAACAUACUUGUUUUUCUUUUGGUUCUAAUUGUUCUCAUAAUGUCCCCCCAACCCCAAGUAGCUUUAGCCAGGAAGCUUGUGGAGACUACCAACACCAAAACCGAGGCAAAAAGGAAGACAUCAACCAUCACCUAUCCAGCAUCUCCAUAUUCCAAACCCCGCGAGUGUACCUACAUAAAACUUUGCAGGCGCAUCGGCGGAGGCAGGCCUCCUCCACCGAAGACCAAACCUUGACUACUCCAAGUCCAAACCACCAAAUGCUUCCAUCACAAUAUAAGUUAAAUAAUUCCAAAUAAAAUAUUGCAAACUGUACUACUGUGUGUAUGAAUUAUGAUUAUGUCAAUAUAUACAUGUCAGUUUAACCAAA
This is a non-coding RNA of Salvia hispanica, 428 nucleotides long. The record is from RefSeq and is a predicted model, not a curated record. Lineage: Eukaryota; Viridiplantae; Streptophyta; Magnoliopsida; Lamiales; Lamiaceae.